This 292-nucleotide unclassified non-coding RNA is filed under the name air metagenome. RNAcentral's name for it is "partial contains small subunit ribosomal RNA, internal transcribed spacer 1, and 5.8S ribosomal RNA". The stretch from base 1 to 46 matches the Rfam family "Eukaryotic small subunit ribosomal RNA", at positions 1786 to 1831 of the family's 1831-position model. The record is from RNAcentral.
AAGUCGUAACAAGGUUUCCGUAGGUGAACCUGCGGAAGGAUCAUUAAUGAAUGAACCGUUGGGCUGUUGCUGGCUCGUCACAGAGCAUGUGCACGCCUUUCGAUCUUUCUACCAUUUUUCCCCUGUGCACUUUUUGUAGGCUCGCUGGAAGGGAAGGCGAACUCUCGUCUUCCUGACUUGUGGGUCUAUGUCUACACAAACCAUUAUAAAGUCCAGAAUGUCUUGUGGCUAGCCUUAAAAAGUGAUGCCUUAAAACUUAAUACAACUUUCAACAACGGAUCUCUUGGCUCUC